RNAcentral lists this ribosomal RNA (397 nucleotides) under uncultured bacterium. Its description in RNAcentral is "partial 16S ribosomal RNA". It matches the Rfam family "Bacterial small subunit ribosomal RNA", at positions 523 to 918 of the family's 1533-position model. The record is from RNAcentral.
AUACGUAGGGGGCGAGCGUUGUCCGGAAUGAUUGGGCGUAAAGGGCGCGUAGGCGGCCCGGUAAGUCUGGAGUGAAAGUCCUGCUUUUAAGGUGGGAAUUGCUUUGGAUACUGUCGGGCUUGAGUGCAGGAGAGGUAAGUGGAAUUCCCAGUGUAGCGGUGAAAUGCGUAGAGAUUGGGAGGAACACCAGUGGCGAAGGCGACUUACUGGACUGUAACUGACGCUGAGGCGCGAAAGUGUGGGGAGCAAACAGGAUUAGAUACCCUGGUAGUCCACACGGUAAACGAUGAAUGCCAGGUGUAGGGGGUAUCGACCCCUUCUGUGCCGCAGUUAACACAAUAAGCAUUCCGCCUGGGGAGUACGGCCGCAAGGUUGAAACUCAAAUGAAUUGACGGGG